Molecule: long non-coding RNA, 553 nt
Filed under: Manihot esculenta (cassava)
Lineage: Eukaryota; Viridiplantae; Streptophyta; Magnoliopsida; Malpighiales; Euphorbiaceae
Description: long non-coding RNA (MESC_LNC003361)
Source: RNAcentral
AUAAGUAUACAGCUAUAACUCAAAUACUAAAAAUAGAUAAAACUGUUAUAGGUAGUCUUUAUCCUUAAUACUAACUAAAUACAAGAUAAGUAUACAGCUAUAACUCAACUAUUAAAAAUAGAUAAAACUGUUAUAGAUAGUCUUUAUCCUUAAUACGCCCCCGCAAGAUUGAGGCGCCAUCGGAGACUCCAAUCUUGGUUCUAAAGUAACAAAAUUGAGUUCUUCCCAAAGCCUUUGUAAGCACAUCAGCAACUUGAUCUUUUGAACUUAUGUGAAGAACCCUUAACUGUCCAGCAUUAAUUUUCUCGCGAACAAAAUGGUAAUCCAGUGCAAGAUGUUUCAUCCUAGUAUGAUAGAUUGGAUUGGCGCAGAAGUAAGUCGCACCAAGAUUAUCACAAUGAAGGACUGGUGGUUGUGAUAUUGGUGCUCCCAAAUCUUGUAAUAAACUUUGAACCCAAAAUACCUCUGCUGCAGCAUUGGCUAAGGCUUUAUACUCAGCCUCUGUAAAAGAUCGUGAGACAGUCUUUUGCCGACUAGAUUUCCAGGAGAUAAU